This 465-nucleotide ribosomal RNA is filed under the name uncultured bacterium. Its description in RNAcentral is "bacterial SSU rRNA". It matches the Rfam family "Bacterial small subunit ribosomal RNA", at positions 335 to 792 of the family's 1533-position model. The record is from RNAcentral.
ACUCCUACGGGAGGCAGCAGUGGGGAAUAUUGCACAAUGGGCGCAAGCCUGAUGCAGCCAUGCCGCGUGUAUGAAGAAGGCCUUCGGGUUGUAAAGUACUUUCAGCAGUGAGGAAGGUGGUGUCGUUAAUAGCGGCAUCAUUUGACGUUAGCUGCAGAAGAAGCACCGGCUAACUCCGUGCCAGCAGCCGCGGUAAUACGGAGGGUGCGAGCGUUAAUCGGAAUUACUGGGCGUAAAGCGCAUGCAGGUGGUUUGUUAAGUCAGAUGUGAAAGCCCGGGGCUUAACCUCGGAAUUGCAUUUGAAACUGGCAGACUAGAGUACUGUAGAGGGGGGUAGAAUUUCAGGUGUAGCGGUGAAAUGCGUAGAGAUCUGAAGGAAUACCGGUGGCGAAGGCGGCCCCCUGGACAGAUACUGACACUCAGAUGCGAAAGCGUGGGGAGCAAACAGGAUUAGAUACCCUGGUA